GCCCCACCUGGCGUGGUCUCCCAGCCACGACGGGCUCCCUGGAGCCCCAGGACCCUCGCUGUGGACAUUACGGGGCACAGUGCGGCCCUCCAGAGGACCGGCCCCUGGUAGAGGGAGCUUCCGGUGGCCUGGGGGAACAGGUCCUUCCGAAGGGUGGCCUGUCACUAGGAGGUCAGCCCGCCAGCUGCCCCUCUCCAGUCCAGUCUCUGAGACAAGGCGUUGUUUAGAGGUCAGGCAUCUUUUGUGUGCCAGUGACAGACAUUUUCCUUGCUCAAAGAAAUAGGAUGAUUGAUGGGACUACAGAAUUGGAAAAUGUAAGGGGCUUCAGGCAUAGCUGGAUCCAGGAGAUGAGACAAGGUUAUUAGAGCCACCUUCCUCUCCCUUUCUCUCUCCUGGGCUUUCCCUGCGUAGCUUUAUUCUCAGGUAGACUGUCUCUCCAGGUCUAUCCAGACACAGAGCAACACUCAAAUUUCACUACACUCAUAAAUCUCCCACAGGACUGAUUGGCGGCUGGGAUCGUGUGCCCAUCCCUGGGCUGGGGCUCAGGGGCUGGGCAGUGGCGAUUGGGUGGCUCGGGUCAUGUGCCUGCUGCCACAUUUAUAGUCCCUCCAACAUCACUGGACUGGGGGGAGUGUCAUUUUUAGAGAAAUUCAGGGAGUGAAGGGUGGGCGUGUCCACUCCGUGUGGCCUGUCCAGUGGUGGCCAGUGAGCGCUCCCAUGGAGAAGCGUCUAUGUGGGUAAAGGCCCUAGAAGAAACCUUGGGCUCCAUCCACCUGCCGGCCUUUCCAUUUGGAGCAAGAGGCUGUGGCCGCCAGGACCUGGGUCUCAGGAAGCCCCAGCAAACUUCAAAGGGGACAGGGUUUGAUCGCAGAAGGGGACUCGCUAAGAGUGGUGAUCAAAAGGAACGCGUAGGAUUCCAGAAAUACAGCGGCAAAAACGGCUUCUGUCUCUCUGGUCUGGAGGUCGGAGGGAGGAGAAAGCGGAACGCUGUCAUGGAAACUGGCUGA
RNAcentral lists this long non-coding RNA (1007 nucleotides) under Felis catus (domestic cat). RNAcentral's name for it is "lncRNA (ENSFCAG00000042685.2)". The record is from RNAcentral. Lineage: Eukaryota; Metazoa; Chordata; Mammalia; Carnivora; Felidae.